GAACGAUAUAGUGGCAGACGGGUGAGUAACGCGUGGAAACGUGCCUUUCACUACGGAAUAGCUUUUGGAAACGAAAGGUAAUACCGUAUACGCCCUCCGGGGGAAAGAUUUAUCGGUGAAAGAUCGGUCCGCGUUAGAUUAGCUAGUUGGUGAGGUAACGGCUCACCAAGGCUACGAUCUAUAGCUGGUCUGAGAGGAUGAUCAGCCACACUGGGACUGAGACACGGCCCAGACUCCUACGGGAGGCAGCAGUGGGGAAUAUUGCACAAUGGGCGCAAGCCUGAUGCAGCCAUGCCGCGUGAAUGAUGAAGGCCUUAGGGUUGUAAAAUUCUUUCGCCAAGGAUGAUAAUGACAGUACUUGGUAAAGAAGCCCCGGCUAACUUCGUGCCAGCAGCCGCGGUAAUACGAAGGGGGCUAGCGUUGUUCGGAAUUACUGGGCGUAAAGCGCACGUAGGCGGACUUUUAAGUCAGAUGUGAAAUCCCGAGGCUCAACCUCGGAACUGCAUUUGAAACUGGGAGUCUAGAGAUCAGGAGAGGUUAGCGGAAUACCGAGUGUAGAGGUGAAAUUCGUAGAUAUUCGGUGGAACACCAGUGGCGAAGGCGGCUAACUGGACUGAUACUGACGCUGAGGUGCGAAAGUGUGGGGAGCAAACAGGAUUAGAUACCCUGGUAGUCCACACCGUAAACGAUGAGUGCUAGUUGUCUGCAGGCAUGCCUGUAGGUGACGCAGCUAACGCAUUAAGCACUCCGCCUGGGGAGUACGGCCGCAAGGUUAAAACUCAAAGAAAUUGACGGGGGCCCGCACAAGCGGUGGAGCAUGUGGUUUAACUCGAAGCAACGCGCAGAACCUUACCUACGCUUGACAUGCCUGGACGACUCCGAGAGAUCGGUUUCUCCCUUCGGGGCC
Molecule: ribosomal RNA, 907 nt
Filed under: uncultured microorganism
Description: bacterial SSU rRNA
Rfam family: Bacterial small subunit ribosomal RNA
Source: RNAcentral